Molecule: unclassified non-coding RNA, 200 nt
Filed under: soil metagenome
Description: partial contains internal transcribed spacer 2 and large subunit ribosomal RNA
Source: RNAcentral
GCCUGUCCGAGCGUCAUACAGCCAAUCCCUUCGGGGGUAUUGGGCCAUGCCGGCAACGGCAGGUCCUAAUUCCAGUGGCGGCAUCGCGCGCAUUCGAGCGUAGUAAUUGUUCUCGCUUAGGGAGCGCGCGACGGUUGACCAGCAAGCCUUCUACACGUUAGUUGGACCUCGGAUCAGGUAGGAAUACCCGCUGAACUUAA